GAUGAAGAACGUAGCGAAAUGCGAUAAGUAAUGCGAACUGCAGAAUUCAUUGAGUCAUCGAAUCUUUGAACGCACAUUGCGCCCUGUGGUAUUCCGCAGGGCAUGCCUGUUCGAGCGUCAUUUCAACCCUCAAGCUCUGCUUGGUGUUGGGCCCUGCCCGCUGCGGCCGGCCCUAAAGACAGUGGCGGUGCCGCCUGGUCCUGAGCGUAGUACAUCUCUCGCUCCAGUGCCCGGUGGUAGCCUGCCAGAACCCCAACUCUCGUGGUUGACCUCGGAUCAGGUAGGGAUACCCGCUGAACUUAAGCAUAUCAAUAAGCGGAGGA
RNAcentral lists this unclassified non-coding RNA (323 nucleotides) under soil metagenome. RNAcentral's name for it is "partial contains 5.8S ribosomal RNA, internal transcribed spacer 2, and large subunit ribosomal RNA". The stretch from base 1 to 120 matches the Rfam family "5.8S ribosomal RNA", at positions 35 to 154 of the family's 154-position model. The record is from RNAcentral.